Molecule: transfer RNA, 69 nt
Filed under: Xiphophorus maculatus (southern platyfish)
Lineage: Eukaryota; Metazoa; Chordata; Actinopteri; Cyprinodontiformes; Poeciliidae
Rfam family: tRNA
About the family: Transfer RNA (tRNA) molecules are approximately 80 nucleotides in length. Their secondary structure includes four short double-helical elements and three loops (D, anti-codon, and T loops).
Source: Rfam by way of RNAcentral
GGCGCUGUGUCUUAGUUGGUCAAAGUGUCUGUAAACAGGAGAUCCUUGGUUCAAAUCCCAGCAGUGCCU